AUUGAACGCUGGCGGCAGGCCUAACACAUGCAAGUCGAGCGGAUGAAGGGAGCUUGCUCCUGGAUUCAGCGGCGGACGGGUGAGUAAUGCCUAGGAAUCUGCCUGGUAGUGGGGGAUAACGUCCGGAAACGGGCGCUAAUACCGCAUACGUCCUGAGGGAGAAAGUGGGGGUCCUCGGUCCUCAAGCUAUUAGGUGAGCCUAGGGCGGAUUAGCUAGUUGGUGGGGUAAAGGCCUACCAAGGCGACGAUCCGUAACUGGUCUGAGAGGGUGAUCAGUCACACUGGAACUGAGACACGGUCCAGACUCCUACGGGAGGCAGCAGUGGGGAAUAUUGGACGAUGGGCGAAAGCCUGAUACAGCCAUGCCGCGUGUGUGAAGAAGGUCUUCGGAUUGUAAAGCGCUUUAAGUUGGGAGGAAGGGCAGUAAGUUAAUACCUUGCUGUUUUGACGUUACCAACAGAAUAAGCACCGGCUAACUUCGUG
RNAcentral lists this ribosomal RNA (483 nucleotides) under uncultured bacterium. RNAcentral's name for it is "partial 16S ribosomal RNA". It matches the Rfam family "Bacterial small subunit ribosomal RNA", at positions 30 to 507 of the family's 1533-position model. The record is from RNAcentral.